GGUGGCCCAAAUUUAAGCCCAAUUAAGGAGGGACAUAUUGGACAUUUGGUAUGCUAAAUAAGAAUUAAAAAGAAAUUAAUUAUUAAUGUGGAAAUUACUAGUUUACCCUUUUGUCCAUUUGGUGUAUUAUUGUGAAUUAUUGUCACCAAUUAUUCCACAAAAGCUAGACAUCUAGAAUUUACCUAUAAUACUAUAGCAUUACUAGCCCUAAUCAUCCAUUACAAUUAUUCCAUACAAGGCUUGUUAGAUUAAAGAGAGAGAGAAAGUGUAUUAUUGCUCAAUUUUUUCUCUCUUGCUCUCACCAAAAGAAAAUCAAAUAAAGAGAGAGAGGAAGGGGUGAGUUCGGCCACUUCCAUGGAGGGAGAAGAGAGGGUCCUUUGAUGUACAAUAACUUAAAUCUCCUACUUUGGAAAGCAAAGAAAGAGGGCCAUCAAAAGCAAGAGGAUUAUAGCUAAAGGUAAAAAUUUCCUAAACUCAAAACUCUAGUUAGUUUAUGGUUGACCAAGUGUUGAACUUAUGAUUUUGAGUCAUAUGAGGGUAGGUCUACAUGAUAUAUGAUAUUUUAUGGUUAGAUCUUGCCAUUUUUAAGGUUGAUGAGCUUGAACAAAGAAGAAGAACCAAAACAGUUUUUUAAAAAAUAAUCUAGUGGACUGCUGCCCCUAAACAGAAAAUUCGGGAUUUGUUAGGUUGCUCUAAAAAUUCUGGGCUUUUGGUAUGUUAUAGUAUACUCAAUAAGCUUUCUAUAGACUCUGAAACGGACAAAAUCCGACAUCGGAGGAGAGAGUUAUGAAAUUUCUCCCAAACUACUCAAAGGGAAGAAAAACUGUUAGAGCAACAGUUUUUAACAGCCACUUCCGGGCUAAUUUCCGGGAGCUUAACAUAUCCAAAUAUGGAUUGUGAUAGAUGAAAAUUGUAUAUCGGAAAGAUAAGAAUCCAACAAAAUUGACGGAUCAUUAAUCGGAGUUAUAGAUCUCAUUUUAUUUAAGAUUUAGUAAAGGACUCCAAAACUGUUUUUGACAAAAAGUAAGCUGAUAAUAUUUUGUGAGGGCUGUUUUGUCAACUUUUCUUGUGAGGAAAAAUUCGACCUUUUGGGAAAUGAAAAUAUAUGGUAUUAAGUACCUCGUGUCCAAAAAUGAGCUCAUUCCGACUUAAAAUGACUGAGUUAUGACCAUUUUAAUUUUUGUGAUUUUCCGACGAAAACGGCUAUAACCGGAGUUCUACAACUCCGAUUGCCACGAAAUUUAAAAUGGAGCAUCACGUUAACAUAUAUAAGGUUAUGUCAAAAGAUGGGCAUCUCUGGAGUUAAGCACGAGGUAGCUAAUUUUCUUAAGUCACGCACUAAUUAUGAUUUUUGAAAAAUAGAAUUAAUGUUUUAAAAAUCAUAUAAAAAUGAUUUAAGUGUUAGAAAAAUAUUUUAAGUUAUAAAUUAUAACUUUUGAGAUUUUGGCAUGAAAAUAUUAAUAUUUUAUUAUUAAUAUCAAUUAUCGGAUAAUGAAUUUAAGUGUUUAAAAAUCACAUAAAUGUGAUUUUAAGGUAUUAAAAAUACCGUGAUAUAUUAUAAAUAUAUUAUAAUAUUAUGUUAUGAUUUUUAUUAAUAUUUAAUGAUAAAUAGAUAUUAAUGAUUAAAGAAUUAGGUGGUAUUUAAUUCAUUUAAAUACGUUAUUAAUGAUCGGAAAAUUUAGAUAAAAUAUUAAUUAUCCGAAAAUUAUUGCAAGACUAUGAAAAAUGUUUUGACUGAUAAGAAAAUUAUCUGUGAUAUCGUCAAGUGUUUAGACAGAGUUUAAUUAAACUUAGACUCGUUAAUUGUCCGACUAGACCGUCGGGAUGAUAGAGUUGUACCGAUUUCAACUCGGACUGAAAUAGUCUGACUUGAUGCUAUGUCCUAUGUGUAUAAGAGACUGAUAGGAGUAAGUGGUAAUAUGUUUAAGUUAUUUUAUAACAGAGAUGAUAUUAUUCUAAUAUUGUAGAUCUAUAUUAUUAAUAUUAGGUCUUCGGGAGAAGCUUAUUAUAUUGCAUUACGGUAAUUAACGGUUCAGGCAAGUUCUUUUUACUUAAACUCUUUUAAGAGUGGUUUCAGACAGAUAUGAUUAUGAAUUGUACUCUUUACAUAUUGCAUGUAUUCAUCAGGUAUGAAAGGCUGAUCACCUUCAUUACCAGUCGUUCCAGAUAUAAUUGUUAUGUUCAUUUUUAAUGUUCAUUCAGCUUUGAAAUUUUGUUCAUGCUAAUUCACAACUACAUUGUGAAGGAUAGCCAGCUUAUUAUUCAAACUCUUUCCAUCAUGAUAUAUCUUUACCUUGCUUUUAAACUUGCUGGGCAACUUUCAUGCUCACCCUUGCUAUAUCAUGAUAAAACAUUGCAGAUAAGGCGAAUACGGCCAGAUACAGAAAAAGGAUAAUGCCAAGUUCAGCUUGGUACAGAGUGUGAAGUUAAGUUGUAAAGUAUGUUGAAGAAUAGUAUUGUC
RNAcentral lists this long non-coding RNA (2461 nucleotides) under Panax ginseng (ginseng). RNAcentral describes it as "long non-coding RNA (PGIN_LNC001545)". The record is from RNAcentral. Lineage: Eukaryota; Viridiplantae; Streptophyta; Magnoliopsida; Apiales; Araliaceae.